UUCCGGUUGAUCCUGCCGGAGACUACCGCUAUCGGAGUCCGAUUUAGCCAUGCUAGUCCACCGAACCUUUGGUUCGGGGCGGAAAGCUGAGUAACACGUGGCCAACCUACCCUGUGGACAGGAAUAACCUCGGGAAGCUGAGGAUAAUGCCUGAUAGCAGAACCAUGCUGGAAAUGCGGGUUCUGUGAAAUGAUACGUCGCCACAGGAUGGGGCCGCGGCUGAUUAGGUUGUCGGUGAGGUAACGGCUCACCGAGCCCGUAAUCAGUAGCAGCCGUGGGAGCGGUAGCUGCCAGUCGUGUUCUGAGACAAGAACACGGGCCCUACGGGGCGCAGCAGGCACGAAACCUUUACAAUGCACGCGAGUGCGAUAGGGGGACUCCGAGUGCGUUCUUCCCACAAGGAAGGACGCUUUUCUGCACUGUAAGGAGGUGCAGGAACAAGGGGUGGGCAAGACUGCUGCCAGCCGCCGCGGUAAUAGCAGCACCCCGAGUGGUAGUCGUUAUUAUUGGGCUUAAAGUGUACGUAGCCGGACCUGUAAGUCUGUUGUGAAAUCCACGCGCUUAACGCAGUGGAAGCGCAACGGAUACUACAGGUCUAGGGACCGGAGGACGCCGAGGCUAUUCCAUGGGUAGGAGUGAAAUCCUAAGAUCCAUGGAGGAGCACCAGUGGCGAAAGCGCUCGGCGACUACGGAUCCGACGGUGAGGUACGAAAGCCAGGGGAGCAAAACGGAUUAGAUACCCGUGUAGUCCUGGCCGUCAACAUUGUCCGCUCGACAUGGCCCAACCUUUGUGGUUUGGCUGUGUCCAAGUGAAAACGUUAAGCGGACCGCCUGGGUAGUACGGUCGCAAGGCUGAAACUUAAAGGAAUUGACGGGGGAGCACCACAACCGGUGGGGGCUGCGGUUUAAUUAGAUCAAACGCAGCGCACCCUACCAGAGCCGACAGCAGAAUGACGGUCAGCUUGAAGAGCUUACCCGACGCGCUGAGAGGAGCUGCAUGGCCGCCGUCAGCUCGUGCCGCGAGGUGUCCGGUUAAGUCCGGUAACGAGCGAGACCCGUACCCUAUGUUGCCACGGAGACACUAGCUGUCUUCGGCACUCGUGGGGAACCGCUGGCGAUAAGCCAGAGGAAGGAGCGGGCCACGGUAGGUCAGUAUGGCCCGAAUGCUCUGGGAUACACGCGGCCAAGGGCGAAUC
RNAcentral lists this ribosomal RNA (1196 nucleotides) under uncultured archaeon. Its description in RNAcentral is "bacterial SSU rRNA". It matches the Rfam family "Archaeal small subunit ribosomal RNA", at positions 1 to 1195 of the family's 1478-position model. The record is from RNAcentral.